RNAcentral lists this long non-coding RNA (1733 nucleotides) under Dicentrarchus labrax (European seabass). RNAcentral's name for it is "lncRNA (ENSDLAG00005027486.1)". The record is from RNAcentral. Lineage: Eukaryota; Metazoa; Chordata; Actinopteri; Moronidae.
AUGCUAGCCAUAAUGCUAGGCUCUGUAAUGUCACCUAAAGACGCGAGGUCUCUUCGACAAUAUACACGACUCCAGAACUCCAGAGUUAUAACGGACCUGAACCUGAACCCUGCCUGUGCACUGAAGGAGAAGGGUGGAGAAGAGGGAACAAGUCGGAGCCGCUGGAAGCCUGCACACAGUGGUGGAAAAAAAGGGCAACAACUCAGGAAACAUCUGGAUGUGUGAGCUGGACUGCAGUUAGUCAAAUACCAUCUGCUUCUUCAACUGUUUUCAGAAUGUUUUAUUGCAUUUCUAUUCUAUCAUGGUGUAUUACCUGUUUAAAUAAAUAACAUCAGGUUGAUUAGUAUACAGCUGGUGCAGCAUAAAAGCAAAUAUAAUACUUCAGAUACAAUAAAUAAACAACAACAAUGUCAACGCUUUCAAUUGUACAGUUACAGUUUUUGUCUUCAUCGCUACGGUUAAAAAAACACAACUUUGGUCUUCUAACCUUAUCUGUAGUUCUUACAGCUCCUGAUACACGACACUAAGUGCAGUGUUGUCAGAUUAGUUUCAGACUGUUGAGUGUUGGCACUGGCUCUAAAACUUUUUUCACAGGGGCGUGUCCAGUCUUUUUGGACUGGGGUGGCACAAGGGGGAUCUGACUUACGCAGAGGUGGCAUUAAGUAUGUGUCUCAGUCUUCCAGUCAUUCCCAAUUUCUGGGAGUUAUUGGCCAAAACUGUAUGGGAUUAGCAUAAAGUGGGUAUGUCUGCAAAGGGGAAACUGACGUGUGGGUAUCCAUAAACCCAUUUUCAUCCAGAUAUCUUGAGGUCAGAGGUCAAGGGAUCCGUUUGAAAAUGGCCUUGCCAGUUUUUCCAUCGCCAAAAUGGUCCUGACAUGAUAGCGUGACAGGUCAGUGCCAUAGUGCCAUAGGAUACCAGUAUGUUUACUUUUACUACAGAGAGCCAACCUCUGAAAGAGUAUGGAGUGGAAGAGGCAAGGGUAAUGGGGUGGCCAAUCAGAUUUCAGGGCCCCCCCUUCUGGACACGCCUCUGCCAAUUCUACAAGAGCUUUCUAAUAAUAUGUUUUGUCAAACUGACAAAGCAGACACUGAUUCCUCUGACAGAAAAGUUUCUUCUCAUGAUAACAAACAUAUUCUGAAGCUGUUUGAUUAAUUGAUUAAAAAAUCCUUCAAGUCGUAAGAUUCUCUGUCGGAUUAUCGUCAUAUGAAAUAUUCAUAUUUGCCAAGUGUAAAUCAACAAACAACCCUCAUCAACAAAAACAACACUGUAUAAAAGCUCUUCUUUAACAUGAUAACCUACAGUAGAGUGAUUUGUCUUAUACUCUGUUCAAACACUGACAAUAAUAAAGCCUUCAUGUCACAGUCACUGGGAUCAUCAGUGAAGCUGACUCUCCCAAACACAAAGUAAACAAAGACAAACAAAGAAAAAUCAUCGCAGUUAUGAAGCAUAUGCAUAAAUGUCCUCUAAUAAGCUAACAAUAAGGCAGCAGAUUUAUCUAGUGCACGUUGUCAUUUUGCAAUUGCAUAACUUGUAUUUCUAAUAUAAAAACUCUAGUAUCUACUUAAUAAUAUAGUUUGCUCUCAAGUCAUUUACUGAUAAAAAGAAACAACAAUUAGACUGAAAUUAAGUGAAGCUAAAAUACAGUCACUGUGAAUCAAACAGUUAACAAAAAAAGUCAUCUCUUCAAAGUAUGUUUAACAUGAUGAUACACUAGGCUACAAUUAUAAAAGUAC